This 253-nucleotide ribosomal RNA is filed under the name uncultured bacterium. Its description in RNAcentral is "partial 16S ribosomal RNA". It matches the Rfam family "Bacterial small subunit ribosomal RNA", at positions 524 to 776 of the family's 1533-position model. The record is from RNAcentral.
UACGUAGGGUGCAAGCGUUGUCCGGAAUUAUUGGGCGUAAAGAGCUUGUAGGCGGUUUGUCGCGUCUGCUGUGAAAUUUCGGGGCUCAACCCCGAACUUGCAGUGGGUACGGGCAGACUAGAGUGUGGUAGGGGAGACUGGAAUUCCUAGUGUAGCGGUGAAAUGCGCAGAUAUCAGGAGGAACACCGAUGGCGAAGGCAGGUCUCUGGGCCAUAACUGACGCUGAGAAGCGAAAGCAUGGGGAGCGAACAGG